RNAcentral lists this ribosomal RNA (1287 nucleotides) under metagenome. RNAcentral's name for it is "bacterial SSU rRNA". It matches the Rfam family "Bacterial small subunit ribosomal RNA", at positions 196 to 1481 of the family's 1533-position model. The record is from RNAcentral.
GGAGGGUGAAGCUUUAAGCUGAGCCUACGUUGGAUUAGCUUGUAGGUAGGGUAAAGGCCUACCUAGGCGACGAUCCAUAGCUGUUCUGAGAGGAAGAUCAGCCACACUGGGACUGAGACACGGCCCAGACUCCUACGGGAGGCAGCAGUGGGGAAUAUUGGACAAUGGGGGAAACCCUGAUCCAGCGACGCCGCGUGUGUGAAGAAGGCCUACGGGUUGUAAAGCACUUUCAGUGAGGAGGAAGAGUAUAGACUGAAUAGGUUUAUGCUUUGACGUUACUCAAAGAAGAAGCACCGGCUAACUCUGUGCCAGCAGCCGCGGUAAUACAGAGGGUGCUAGCGUUAAUCGGACUGACUGGGCGUAAAGGGCACGUAGGCGGUUUGACAAGUUAGUUGUGAAAAUCUUGGGCUUAACCUGAGACGUGCAACUAAUACUGUUAGACUAGAGUUCAGUAGAGGGGAGCGGAAUUUUCCGGAGUAGCGGUGAAAUGCGUAGAUACCGGAAGGAACAUCAGUUGCGAAGGCGGCUCUCUGGACUGAAACUGACGCUGAGGUGCGAAAGCGUGGGGAGCGAACAGGAUUAGAUACCCUGGCAGUCCACGCUGUAAACGAUGAGUACUAGCUGUUGGAACGCGACGACGUUUUAGUAGCGCAGCUAACGCGAUAAGUACUCCGCCUGGGGAUUACGACCGCAAGGUUAAAACUCAAAGGAAUUGACGGGGGCCCGCACAAGCGGCGGAAUAUGUGGUUUAAUUCGAUCAACGCGCAGAACCUUACCUGCCCUUGACAGCUUCUUUAAUCUCUUGUAAUGAGAGCUGACCCGAAAGGGAAGAGAAGUACAGGUGCUGCAUGGCUGUCGUCAGCUCGUGUUGUGAAAUGUUGGGUUAAGUCCCGUAACGAGCGCAACCCUUAUCGUUAGUUGCCAGCACUUUUAGGUGGGGACUCUAACGAGACUGCCGGUGUUAAGCCGGAGGAAGGUGGGGACGACGUCAAGUCAUCAUGGCCUUUAUGGGUAGGGCUACACACGUAUUACAAUGGGUGUUACAGAGGGCUGCAAACCUGCGAAGGGGAGCGAAACUCACAAAAGCACUCGUAGUCCGGAUCGGAGUCUGCAACUCGACUCCGUGGAGUUGGAAUCGCUAGUAAUCGCGGAUCAGCACGCCGCGGUGAAUACGUUCCCGGGCCUUGUACACACCGCCCGUCACACCAUGGGAGUGGGUGAUACCAGAAGGUGGUAGAAUAACCUGUAAGGGAGUUCGCCAACCACGGUAUGAUUCAUGACUGGGGU